GAACUUACCUGGAAGUAGAGGUACCAUGAUUCCAAAGGUGUUUUUCUCAGAGAGAGUCUCACUCGUUGCAAUAAGAUGUACUGACCCUACAAUUUCCCUAAUUGUGGAAAAUUCAGACAGCAAAAUGUGUGGUGGCAAGGGACUGCAUUCACCUUCUCCUAA
This 162-nucleotide small nuclear RNA is filed under the name Sorex araneus (European shrew). RNAcentral's name for it is "U1 spliceosomal RNA (ENSSARG00000015977.1)". It matches the Rfam family "U1 spliceosomal RNA". Rfam says of the family: U1 is a small nuclear RNA (snRNA) component of the spliceosome (involved in pre-mRNA splicing). Its 5' end forms complementary base pairs with the 5' splice junction, thus defining the 5' donor site of an intron. Lineage: Eukaryota; Metazoa; Chordata; Mammalia; Eulipotyphla; Soricidae. The record is from RNAcentral.